This is a non-coding RNA of Gavia stellata (red-throated loon), 112 nucleotides long. The record is from Rfam. Lineage: Eukaryota; Metazoa; Chordata; Aves; Gaviiformes; Gaviidae.
CUGCUCAAUGGAAAGCAGCAGCACAUAUACAAAAAUUGGAACGAUACAGAGAAGAUUAGCAUGGCCUCUGAGCAAGGAUGACAUGCAAAUUUGUGAAGCGUUCCGUAUUUUU